Molecule: ribosomal RNA, 166 nt
Filed under: Lotus corniculatus
Lineage: Eukaryota; Viridiplantae; Streptophyta; Magnoliopsida; Fabales; Fabaceae
Description: 5.8S ribosomal RNA
Rfam family: 5.8S ribosomal RNA
About the family: 5.8S ribosomal RNA (5.8S rRNA) is a component of the large subunit of the eukaryotic ribosome.
Source: RNAcentral
CAUAAAAUGACUCUCGGCAACGGAUAUCUCGGCUCUCGCAUCGAUGAAGAACGUAGCGAAAUGCGAUACUUGGUGUGAAUUGCAGAAUCCCGUGAACCAUCGAGUCUUUGAACGCAAGUUGCGCCCGAAACCAUUAGGUCGAGGGCACGUCUGCCUGGGUGUCACA